GUUUCAUCUUCUUCUCCAAGCUAAAGCCGAUCCUCUAAUCUUCUCCUUCCUUCUCAUCUUCAAGAAAUCAAAUCCCUCUCAUCUCCUUCAAGCCUUGUGACUCCAUGGCAAGGAAAAAAUAUAUAUUUUUUCUUCAUCCUCAUCAAGCCGUGCGAGAACUCCCUCCAUACCCAUUUUUUAUUUUUGAUUCUAAGCUUGGAACCAAAACUUGAUUUCAUCUUCCAAAGGGUGAAAUCUUGAAGUUUUGGGGUUUAAAAUAAUGAUAUCGUGUUGCCCUUCAUCCACACGGCUAUACCUCUAUUUGGUCUUCCACUUGUGUUUUGAAAGGGGCUAAGAGCUUAAGGUAUUGAUGAAAAGGCUGGGGAACAAGGCACUACUGCAGGGAGGGAGGUAGACGCUUAGUGUCUUUCCUAACUAGAACAAUUAUGUUGAUGGAUGAUGGGUUAUGGGUUAUGUUUAUGUAUAGACAUUUUAAGUUGGGACGAAGUCUCUUUCUAACUAGAACAGUUAUGUUUAUGGAUGAUGGGUUAUGUUUAUGUGUAGUCGUUUUAUGUUGGGACGAAGUCUCUUUCUAACUAGAACAGUUAUGUUUUUAUGAACAUACGAUGGACUUUGAGAGUAUCUUA
Molecule: long non-coding RNA, 626 nt
Organism: Juglans regia (Persian walnut)
Lineage: Eukaryota; Viridiplantae; Streptophyta; Magnoliopsida; Fagales; Juglandaceae
Exons: 3
Source: RefSeq, a predicted model, not a curated record